This is a long non-coding RNA of Gavialis gangeticus (Gharial), 4698 nucleotides long. RefSeq lists it as uncharacterized. The record is from RefSeq and is a predicted model, not a curated record. The transcript is spliced from 2 exons. Lineage: Eukaryota; Metazoa; Chordata; Crocodylia; Gavialidae.
CAUCUUGUGUAUUAGUGUCCCUGCACUGAAAAAUGGUGGUGGGGGCGCUUUAACUAAAGCUUAGUCAACGAGCUUUAGUCAAAGCGCCCUUACCGCCAUUUUUCAGCGUGGGGCUUGUUGAUGCAUGAGACGCUCCAGGCACUUUAAUUAAAGUGCCCCCCACUCCCAGAGCACAUAUAUAAACACCCCUAGAUGUCAAUGGGAGUUUGCCAUUGAAUCUGUGGACCCCAGGUUGAAAACCACUGUUCUAAAAAACACAGAUUGAAUAUGGCCCUGUGUACAUGUUAGACUUAAGGUAUGAUUAAUUAAUCAGUUACUGGUGUGAUAAAAAGAGGAAUAAGCUACAAAGUUAUUCCACAUAUUUAGCUGCUUCCUAUCAUGCCAUUCAUUGAUUGUGUGGCCAGGGACCUCUGUGGCUGGGAGCCCUGUCAGUUAAUUGGUGCUCCCAGCUGUGUGGGCCUACAUGCACUCCUGAGCUUGAUAGCUCCCAGCUGACAGGGCUUCCAGCUGAAGGGGUGCAUGGUGCACCCCUAUGACUGGGUGCCCCAUCAGCUCCCAGCUGUGGGAGCUUGUUUCUUGCUGGUACGGGGGAGCCCAGGAUUGAGUUGGCACAUGUGGUAUGGCAAUUGUGCGGAUUGCAUAUUAGAUCCCAUCACACCUAUACCUUCAUGUGUUGAGGGGCCCUAAAGGACCACACUAAUAUUUUGAAGGUUUCAUACUGGGGGUUGACUAUGGUUGACUAUAUUCCCACAGCCAGUGCUGAGUCGAAGAGUUAUUCUUAUAGAAAUAUCCACCGUUCAGAUUUCAUCCACUGAUGAUUCAGUUAAUCCUAAAGACAAUCUUGAAAUCAUUAAUAAGGAUAGUCCUUUUAUUCUUUAAUGAAUUGCCUUUUUCUGUAUUGGAGAAGAAAUUAUGAAACAAUCCAUUCAUAUCUAUUGAACCAUCUUGAGAUGUUGAUUUGUAUCUGUACUAAAUUGGUAUAUGGUAUUCAGAAAAGGCACUUCUUCUCUUUAAAUCUGAUCUUUCUAGAGCUUUUAAUCAGCAGAACUAUAGAACAACAAACCCAGCUAUGCCCCACUCUCUGUCUUUUAACCACCUGUCCCCUUAUAAACCUACUUCUGCUUUUAGUAAGAUAAGGCUUAUGGGAAGGGGGUGGAAGGCAGCAGUGAGCCUGGAGAAAGGCGUCAAAGGAGUAGGAGAUGGAUUUCAGGUAGGAUCAGAAGAAAAUGUUACAUUAAUAUUUAUAGUAUGAAUUGACUAUAUUCAAGCUUCUGUUUUCACACACAAUCAGCAUUAAAUAUCUCUGUUCCUAUAGUAAUAAAGUAAAGGUACUUCUAUUCAGAGAGCACUAUAGAAGAAAAAGGUGAUUUGACUUGGUAUAUAUUACUGCUGAGAUACAAUCCCACUACCUUGUAUAAAACUGUUUUUUAAAAUACAAAAAACGAAUGCCAUUGAAAUCUAUGGCUUGACAGAGCUCUGAAUUUCUUCUUUGAUUUAAUUCACAUGCUGAACAAAUAUUGUACCUGAAGAUGGGGGAGAAGCUGUGAAGUUACUUAGGUAUUGAUUUUAGUUUGUAGAAUUUAUGAGUUGGAGCUGAAAACUGGUCUUAAACUUGAAAGCUAAUUUCAGCAUUAAAUACAGAGAGGUGCUGUCCUGGUUUUCUACUGUCCUGAGUUUCCCUUAUAACGCUGAUAGAAUAAAAAGUUCCCAGGGCAGGUGAAAAUAUCCCCAGGGAAAACCUCUUUGAAGACCAGUGUUCCAUAGUUAACACAGAGCUGACAGAAUAGCUCCUUUUAAUGUUAGGUGUAUGUUGGGGAAAGGAGGAGGAAUGGAAAUUAUUCUUGGCUGUCCAGGGCUAAUCAGAGUAUAAGUAAGAGCAGUCUUGUGGAAUACAAGGAGUACUUACAGCAUCAACACAAGUGUGGGUCAAUGGAGAGUUGGGUCCAAAAUCUUUUUAUUGAAAGUAGAGUGUAGUGAAGUAUCUAUUUGAUGUUGUGAUGCAUGAAUAUAGAUAUGUAAAGUCAGCGUAGAAACUAAAAAUGUAAAGAGUUUUCCUCUGCUAAAAAUAUCCUGUAGAUUUUGUGCAUUUAUGCCUAUGUUGAUACAGCUUUCUGUAUGAAUAAUUCAAAAGUCUGGGCAAAUAUGUCCAAUGAAUCUCAGAUAUCAAAACAACAUGUUCUGGCAUCUAUUGAGGACACCUUCUGGCUGACAUCAAAAACUGGAGGAGAGACUUAUUAAAUAUUGUGCCGAGACAGCAGCUGAAAGAUGCUUACUACCUUGAGGGGAAAUGGUGACCAAUAUGUCAGCUUGUUUUUUACCAUACUUCAAAAAAGUGAUCUAAUUGGUUUAUAGGUUCAUUGUAUAUAAUUUCCUUUGCAGAUGAUCAGCAAUCUGCCAUUUGUGUUGCCAAGUAAAGUAUUUCAAGGCUAUUUAAUAAAAUGGUGAACUUUAGCAGCUUUGUUUUUCUUGUUGCCUUGAUUUCAGGCUUCAUCCAGUGUCUCCUAAAAUGCUACCAUUUUUUAUUAUUAUCUUCUUUUAGUAUAUUGAUUAAUUUUUGAAGCAUAGGCCAAAUAGAAAAGUAAUAGGAUGGAAAUAUGAAGAAUGUUGUUAUAAUGAAUCUUAAAUGACAGAAUUACAGUGCUUGAAAUGUAAAUCAUAACUAAAUAUUUGUUUAACCUCACAAAUGUUUUAUGUUAUGGUUUCAAAAAAUAUGACAGAUAUCACGAUGCUUCUUUCAGAGACUGUACAGUAUGCUAAGCUGGUUAACAAAAAAACCCAGCUAGGUUAUAGGAUUUUCUAUUGACACUGGGAAUGAAUUUUGCAUUCAAAUAUGCUUUUUUCUGAGUGAACCAAAUAUGUGGUUUCCACUUAAGGUAAAAUUCUGUUGUGUACCACUUAAUCUCUCAUUCAGUAUUUAUGUACUUCAUUAGAUGUACAUGGUGCUCUACAACCAUAAUACAUGCCCUCUGUUCCAAGUAGCUAGGUUAGCAGGAAGCUUACAAUCCAGGGCGUCAACUUAGGUUCCUUACCAUGAUAAAUUGUAUGGUGUUGGGGUCCUUGUAGACUGACAUUUCAUCAGGCUUCCCUUAUUUUUUUUUAAAUGGUCUUUAUCUGCACUUGUCUUCUCCUUGAUACUCAAUAAAUUUUGAUACUUGAUAAACAUACAAAAUUUUUGCAGUGAAACAUUUGCAGUUGGAAUAUAGAUCAUCCAUAAAGUUGAAUUUGGAACGUAUACAACUCCUGUACAUUUGUGAAUGCUACUUUUGGAGAUUUUUCAAACUUGUACAGUAGGAUUUAGUUUUAUUGCAGUAGAAAAAAGGAUCUCUACUUUGGGGGAAAAAAUGAAACUGUUCUAUAGCUUGUCAGUCAGAAAAGCUUUUAAGCUGUAUCUAUAAGGUGGACAGUUUAAUGGGUAAGCGAUGUUUGUUCUUCAUUUCAAGUGCAUCAUUGCACUUUAAGUAGUAUAAAUUUAGCCCCCUUAAGCUUGAUCUCCUGUGGCUGAGAUUUAAGUGUUUGAACUUUAGUUGAAAGGAAUAUAUUGAUUAGUCUUUGAUUUAGUCAUUCCCCACUGAAAAGAUACCCUGUAAUGACUUGUACCUGCCCUUUAGUAUUUUUAUUCAUUUAAAGAUUUCCCUCUUCCCCUCUCCAACAACUUUGCCUAAAAGACUGCAGUACUAUAAGGAGGAGAAAAGAAAAAGCAGCUGUCACACUGGGAACAUAAUUGAUUCAAUAAAUAACAUUUUUAAAUUCCCAAGGCAAACCUCUGAGUCUUCGCUUAUGUCAAUUAGUGCUCUAUUCUGUAAAUGGUGGCAUGCUUAAUUUAGACUGAUGGGCUAAGUUAGCCAGUUAUUGCCUCUUAUAGAAAGAGUAGUCACAGAAAAUGAACUAAUAUAUACAUGUAUAAUACACAUAAAAUCUCAUCUGAUUUUUAUGAAGAUCUGUGAAAAGUAGUCUUAAAUUAUUUUUUUAAACUAGUGUUGCUUUUUAUUUUCAGUGACUCCAAUUGAACAAGCAUUUUGUUAGCUUGUUGAGCAGAAGAACAUACAGGGUCUCAUGGAAGACCAUGGCAAAAUUGCCCUUUAACUUCAGGAUAUCACCCAUAGGAUGUGAACAUAUUCUAGCAAAGAUUACAGCUGUGCAGAUAAUUUUUUUUUCUUUAGUCCAUUGCGUGGACCAAAAAAAGGCCCCAAAACUGAGAAUAAUUUAGCUUUGGGUCAGAGCCAAACAAAAUGGAAUCAGUCUUUUGCACUGAAUUUGAAACACUUAAAAAGCAUUUUGGGUCAAAACACUUUAUUCAGUCCUCAGUAGAAUGCAUUUUUGGGUAUUCUUUUUAACUUUUUAAUGUAAAUUUGGUCCUGAAAAAUAAUUUCAAAAUGAAACAAUGUUGAAUAGUCUUUUUCAACAAUUUAAUGUUAUAAUUCAGAGUUCAUACAUAUUGGUAACUGCUUGGCCACAGACUUCCUUUAUGUGAUCUUGGGCAAAUUACUUAGGCUUGUCUUUGCAAAGAGAAGGGGAAUGAACCUGCCUAGUCUUUACAGGACUUUACCUCAAGUUACGUAGUUCAAGUUAAUUUUUGAGGAAUGGAUUAGAGGCCUUCUGAGGUUCCUUCCAGCCCUAUUUUCUUCUUUGCUUACAUGAACACCUUUUUUCCUCCUAGCGAAGAUGCAGCCAAUGUCUUCCAGCAUGUUAGUUCCCAUA